GUUUCUGAACGAUAUUGCUCAGAUCUGAGUUUUUCCCUACGUGAAUCGACCCUAAAAUGUUGAAAUCUUCACCUAGGAACAACUCACGCACGGUCUGUGAAGAAGUUUGGCCGAGACCUCAACCCAAAGGCAGAGAUCCGAGGGUCAUCCGAGAACGGGACUUAAUUUAGAGAAAUCAGUAGUGUUGGACACCUCACGGGCAAAGAAACGCUAGCGAAGGGGCACGCGUCAACCAGGGGCGCGAGGCGUCGGUCAAGAGUGGGCGUGAUCUGAAGGGAAUUGUCACAGAGGAAUGGGUUGUCCCGGGGCGUCAGUCCAGUCUUAGUCAUCAUUUUUGUAUUCGCAUUCUUUUUAAAUUUAUUUUCCAAACGGUCUUGUGUUCUGUGUUUAUCGUUCGAAAAACUUUAUUGAAAUUUGAUGAUUUUCGCUACUUCAUAUUUAAAUCUCUUGUGCA
This is a long non-coding RNA of Cucurbita moschata (crookneck pumpkin), 454 nucleotides long. RefSeq lists it as uncharacterized. The record is from RefSeq and is a predicted model, not a curated record. The transcript has 3 exons. NCBI's taxonomy places the organism in Eukaryota, Viridiplantae, Streptophyta, Magnoliopsida, Cucurbitales, Cucurbitaceae.